GCAAAGGGAAGAAGCCUCAGUUGGUAGCUAUGGAGGGGAGUGAUCCUUCGUUGGAUGAAAAAUUGGUGUAAAAAUUGGUUCUCCUCCCCCCGUGUCGCUGCCACCAUCGAUGCCGCAAGGUAUGUAUGCUUUUCUAGCUGCUUGGUAGCUUCAACUUGGUGAUGACGACUACCUAUGGAGUAAAGUUAAAGGUCCCGUGCUCCUGUUGUUCUUCAGGACUUUUUUUCUUUUGCUCAAACCAGCAUAAACUAUUCAGAGUUUUAACAGAGAAAAUUGGUCCUGUGCUUCCUCAUGAAAUACAAGAAAAGCUCAAUUGUUUAGAGGAAGAGUACUUCAGGAGCCACUCUUCAGCCAUUAAGUCAUAUAUCUCAGAGCUGGAUAUAGAUUUAACAGUGGUAUGUAUAUUUCCAGUUUCAUUUGCUUUUGGGGGAUGAAACACGAUUGCCAGACUUAUUGUAUAGUUUUUAUAGGGCAUGGUACCCCCCAGGGAUCCUUAUAUCCAGGUUUGGGUGCUGGAGGACUUUGGUGAAGUAUCUCUUGGUGACCAUUCCAUAUCAUUGACCAAAAUUUGCUCCACUUCCUUAGGCGCACAGAUGCAAAACAAUUUAUAUCACAUGUUUGCUAUCUGUUACGCUAUAUUUUCCCACUCUGAAAUCUUAAUAUUUCCAGUAAGAAUAAUAUUCUGUUUAAUUUUAAUAGGGUCUCAUGGAAGAAUUUCUGGAUUAGGGAUCACAUAUGAUGUAAAAUAGGUAUUGCUCCUCAGUCCUCACUGUGAUCUUGUUAGUUAAUUAAACAGCAGCGUGAACGUAAUACAGUGACCAGUGCUGGCAGCAUGUCUUAGAUACGAAAAGGCUUGAUGCUUGCUAAAUAUUUUUUCACCUGACACAUGACUUGUACUAUUAGCUACCUUGAAAUUGUGUUGUGCAUUCUGACCUUAUUUUUGAAUCAAUGUGUGUGAGCUGCAUAUUUUAACUGCCACCCACAACAUUUUCUUCAUUGUUGCAGUCUGGUGGAAUAUGCACUCUUGAGGUUCUGAUCGAGACUAUGCGAAAAAGGAAAGAACAUAUGCUAUCUUCAGGUGUCUCUCUGUUCUUCGGCAAUUAAAUUCAUCACUGAAUACUGAAAUCCACUUCAAUCCUAACGUUUGAUCCGGGGAAAUUCAGUUAUGCAUAUUUAUGAGCACUGGUCAUAAUCUUUUUUUAGAUAAGCACACUCUUGACUUGAAUAAUUAUGUCUUAUAUGAAGUGGAGGCACAUGAGUUGGGGUGAUCUGUAUCGCCUCCGGCGGCAUCGGAUUCAUGGAAUUAGUAUAGCAGCUCUCGCGAGAGUUGGCUUUGGUGUUUAUUUUCAUGUUUAACUAUUUGGAUGUGUUCUUUGAAUGCCUCUGAUUGUCUGUGUAUAGUGUAUCUAAGCAUUCUUCCUUUUCUUUAUUAUUAAGAUGACUAAAUUUUGGAUAUUCUUUCAUACAUUUGAUAUUUAAUUGUGUUGUGUACUGUUAUGUUGUUAGAUCAGAAAGUGGGACUUUAAACCGUUUGGCCAUGGCCAUAUAGUUAGCUGCUUGGAGUACAUUAGAUGCACAUGUUCCUUUAGUUACAUGAUCCAUGAUGUAUGACAACAGACCUCCCAAUUGACUGGCGAUGUUUAAAUAGAUAUGACAAGAUUCAUAUGAUGUUUUCCUACAAAUCUAACUAUAAAUCCUAGAAGUGAGUUUUUAGUAAUUUGCUUAUUAAAUGAUCGUGUUGUUGUUUAAUUUUGCCUGAUUUAUUUCUGUGAAACAUACAUGAUCGUCUAUAGUUUCAUUUGGCCUGAAACAAAUUAAGUUGUAUUCACUCCAAACCUGCGUAUUUGUUAGCAUAUUUUUGUGUUUGUUUUGGUCGAUGGUUAGACAUGCUUUGCAUCAAUCAUUUCGUUUUUACAUGAGGAUGUAUGCAGUAAACAUUGUGUUGCAAUCUUAAUUUUUCUAUAGGGUGAACCUCUGGACCUCUCAAAUUAGAAGUAACCAGGAGCUGCGCAAAUUGAUGAAGCUGAAGUAGCGCAGUUUGUAGGAGAAGUUGGCCCAGUUUGGCCCCGACCACAUUUUUUGGGACACAUUUUGGCCCCAACCACAUUCUUUUCCUCGGCCAAAGUCGAUUUGUUCUCUAGAAAGAAAAUACACAAUUAGCGGCAGCAGCUACUAGUCGCCUGAGCUUGGACAGAGGGUGCCGAUACUCCUUGUGCAUCUGGACCAUGAUCUAUCCUUCGAUGAUUGGCCAAAUUUUCAAAGUUUGCCUGGUGGUAAUCCGUCGUGAUCCAAACCAACGGACACAAAAGGAAGUCACUCAUAUUCAUCGUGAUGCUCACGUCGUGGGAGAUUUGGAACGAGUGGAAUGCCUGCGGUUUUCCGGAACAUUUACACCUUGCCAACAACGAUCUUCGCAAAGAUCAAGCGUGAGGCGGCAUGUUGGGGCAAAACACUUGAGAUGAUCAUGCCACGAGAGUAAUUCCUUGCAUAUUAUUGUGCCCUCGGGCAAGUGUUGUAAUCGUAAAUCUUAUUAGUGAAAUGAGGCAAAGCUUUUUACCAUAAUUAAAAAAAUUAUCCGCAGCAGCAGCAGCAUACCUGAACAACAGCCCUGAGGUGACCGGUCCUGUUGUAAUUGUCUUCCUCGAUGAUAACCUCCCCUGACAAAGGAAGAAAUGAGGCCAAGCUUUGACAUUUAUUUAAAUUGGGUAUGGAAAAAUGGUGCACGAUGAAGCAUGAAGUAGGAUGUGCCCAUUUUCAAGCAUGAAGUAG
Molecule: long non-coding RNA, 2769 nt
Filed under: Triticum aestivum (bread wheat)
Lineage: Eukaryota; Viridiplantae; Streptophyta; Magnoliopsida; Poales; Poaceae
Description: long non-coding RNA (TAES_LNC020525)
Source: RNAcentral